UACGUAGGGUGCAAGCGUUGUCCGGAAUUAUUGGGCGUAAAGAGCUCGUAGGCGGUCUGUCGCGUCUGCUGUGAAAACUCAGGGCUUAACCCUGAGCUUGCAGUGGGUACGGGCAGACUAGAGUGCGGUAGGGGAGACUGGAAUUCCUGGUGUAGCGGUGAAAUGCGCAGAUAUCAGGAGGAACACCGGUGGCGAAGGCGGGUCUCUGGGCCGGAUACUGACGCUGGAGGAGCGAAAGCGUGGGGAGCGAACAGG
Molecule: ribosomal RNA, 255 nt
Filed under: uncultured bacterium
Lineage: Bacteria
Description: partial 16S ribosomal RNA
Rfam family: Bacterial small subunit ribosomal RNA
Source: RNAcentral